Molecule: small nuclear RNA, 106 nt
Organism: Urocitellus parryii (Arctic ground squirrel)
Lineage: Eukaryota; Metazoa; Chordata; Mammalia; Rodentia; Sciuridae
Source: Ensembl
GUGCUCACCUUGGCAGCACAUAUACUAAAAUCAGAAUGAUACAGAGAAGAUUAGCACGGCCCUGUGCAAAGAUGACAUGCAAAUUCAGGCAGCAUUCCAUAUUUUA